Molecule: long non-coding RNA, 1296 nt
Organism: Urocitellus parryii (Arctic ground squirrel)
Lineage: Eukaryota; Metazoa; Chordata; Mammalia; Rodentia; Sciuridae
Source: RefSeq, a predicted model, not a curated record
GCCUCAGGAGGGCCCAGGCUGCUGGGCAGUGUGCAUGUGUUUUAUUAGUGUUGUGCGGUAUUCGGCGUGGUCCUUUGAACUCGCCGCCUGAGCUUAUUUCGUGAACGGCUUCUUCUGUUCCUCGGGGUACCGGACUUACUGUGCUCCUAGCUUCACCCAGUUUCCCGAUGGUGCUUUGAGCUGAGCAACUUUCCUCCACUGGGCCCUUACCCCCAAUAUGCCUCCUCACCUGAGGUUCAGAGCAAUGGAUUUGGCUGUUUAUGGACUGCGAUCUCUUAAAACACGAUCGCUAUAUAAACUUUUCCUGCUAUCUUUAUUGUAGGCCUUGGAUUCGUGGUGACUGGAAGGAUAUUUUAAGACAACUGAAAGUCUCUGGCUGGAGAUACUCUGCUGGGACUGAAACUCUUGAUUGAGACUCAGAUCCUCCAGACCCUAGAGAACCUCGGUGGUCCUGAGUCAGGUUAUCCCUUCUCUCUGGGAACCCUUCUUCAGAGACAUCCCUUCUUCUGCGAUAACCUCUAUCUCUGGACCAACCAAACGUCGUGGGACCUCACUCAAGUCUCAAAUCAGUGGGAACUUGAAUUCACAUUUAAGGGAAGAACUGAGAACCUGUGUUGCUUCUUCAAGACCAAAUCUGCCAACCACUUCAGUGGGAAGGACAUGGAUCAAGGGCAAGUAAAACAUCACAAAACAUCCUAUUAUUUUAAAGGAAACAUUGCAAAGAACCACCCUCUCCCUGUUACUUGGAUAAGACCUCCUUGUUUACCUACAGACGCAGACCCUCCAAAUUCCCAUUCUUUGCCUCCCAAGUGAUUAGAUAAACUGUACUCGCUGACAAAUCAGGACAAUAUACCUGUUCCCUUGAUUUGACUAAAGUUAGUUAAGUUUUUCUGCUUACCCCAGGCCCUUUAAUUUUGACCCAUCCUUGGUUGAGCCAACACACAAUGACUCUUUAAUGGCUCGUUUCUUAGGGGGAAAAAUUCACUGUCCAAUCCCCAUACUAUUUCAUUCCAGUUCUCCCCUCCUAGUUCUUUCCAUCCUUGUUCAUUUCUCCUUACAAAAUAAUAGUUAACAAUUUAAAAUUUAAUUAAAAAAGGAUAGAGAACUGUGUCCUUAAAGGAACAGGAGAUUAGGAUACAGACAUGCAUGUGCAUAGAAGAGUGACCAUGUUUGAGCACAGUUGGAAACUGGACAUCUGCAAGCCAUGAAAAGAGGACUCAGAAAAAAAAAAAAAAACAAACCUACCAACAUCUGGAUCUCUGUCUCCCAGAACUGUGAGCAAAUAAAAUUCUGUUG